GGGAGACUGUUCACAUGAAUGGAAUUCUAAAUGGAGAUUCUGUUUCUAAACUAGAGCUAACUCUGACUGUUCCUGAUUGUGUCUGCAGACUAAGGAGUGCCUCGUUGUCAUUAAGUGCGUGGCUUCACACUAGGAUCACUCAUUCGGAUGAUGAUAAAAGGCCUGUGAAGCUAAAUGAAACUAGAAGCUAAAACUGUUAUCCAGAGCUAGUGACACUGGACUCCUCUCCAGGGAACCAACUGCAUCUAUUUAAAAUAAACUUUCAGGUAGAAGCCCUAAUGUGCAAUGUGAUGGUAUUUGAAGAUGGAGCUUUGGGGAAGUAAUUUAGCUCAGAUGAGACCAUGAAGGUGAAUUCUCAAGAUGACAUGAGUGUUCUUACUAGAGGAAGAGAGACCAGAGCUCUCUCUUUCUCUACCAUG
This is a long non-coding RNA of Chlorocebus sabaeus (green monkey), 419 nucleotides long. RefSeq lists it as uncharacterized. NCBI's taxonomy places the organism in Eukaryota, Metazoa, Chordata, Mammalia, Primates, Cercopithecidae. The record is from RefSeq and is a predicted model, not a curated record.